UACGUAGGGGGCAAGCGUUGUCCGGAAUCAUUGGGCGUAAAGCGCACGUAGGCGGACUCUUAAGUCAGGGGUGAAAUCCUGGAGCUCAACUCCAGAACUGCCUUUGAUACUGAGAGCCUUGAGUCCGGAAGAGGUAAGUGGAACUGCGAGUGUAGAGGUGAAAUUCGUAGAUAUUCGCAAGAACACCAGUGGCGAAGGCGGCUUACUGGUCCGGUACUGACGCUGAGGUGCGAAAGCGUGGGGAGCAAACAGG
This 253-nucleotide ribosomal RNA is filed under the name uncultured bacterium. RNAcentral describes it as "partial 16S ribosomal RNA". It matches the Rfam family "Bacterial small subunit ribosomal RNA", at positions 524 to 776 of the family's 1533-position model. The record is from RNAcentral.